CUACGGGCUGCACCAGUGGGGAAUAUUGCACAAUGGGCGCAAGCCUGAUGCAGCCAUGCCGCGUGUAUGAAGAAGGCCUUCGGGUUGUAAAGUACUUUCAGCGGGGAGGAAGGGAGUAAAGUUAAUACCUUUGCUCAUUGACGUUACCCGCAGAAGAAGCACCGGCUAUACUCCGUGCCAGCAGCCGCGGUAAUACGGAGGGUGCAAGCGUUAAUCGGAAUUACUGGGCGUAAAGCGCACGCAGGCGGUUUGUUAAGUCAGAUGUGAAAUCCCCGGGCUCAACCUGGGAACUGCAUCUGAUACUGGCAAGCUUGAGUCUCGUAGAGGGGGGUAGAAUUCCAGGUGUAGCGGUGAAAUGCGUAGAGAUCUGGAGGAAUACCGGUGGCGAAGGCGGCCCCCUGGACGAAGACUGACGCUCAGGUGCGGAAGCGUGGGGAGCAAACAGGAUUAGAUACCCUCGUAGUC
Molecule: ribosomal RNA, 465 nt
Filed under: uncultured bacterium
Lineage: Bacteria
Description: partial 16S ribosomal RNA
Rfam family: Bacterial small subunit ribosomal RNA
Source: RNAcentral